UACGGAGGGUGCGAGCGUUGUUCGGAAUCACUGGGCGUAAAGCGCGUGUAGGCGGCCCAUUAAGUCUGAUGUGAAAGCCCGGGGCUCACCCCCGGAAGUGCAUUGGAAACUGAUGGACUCGAGUCCCGGAGAGGAGAGUGGAAUUCCUGGUGUAGCGGUGAAAUGCGUAGAGAUCGGGAGGAACACCCGUGGCGAAGGCGGCCAUCUGGACCAGCACUGACGCUGAGGCACGAAAGCGUGGGGAGCAAACAGG
RNAcentral lists this ribosomal RNA (253 nucleotides) under uncultured bacterium. RNAcentral describes it as "partial 16S ribosomal RNA". It matches the Rfam family "Bacterial small subunit ribosomal RNA", at positions 524 to 776 of the family's 1533-position model. The record is from RNAcentral.